CCCUUAGAUGUUCUGGGCUGCACGCGUGCUACACUGAUUACUUCAACAAGUGUUUUAACUGGAGAGUUCGCGUAAUCCUGAAAUGUUAUCGUGAUGGGAGUAGAGUAUUGUAUUUGUUAAUCUUUAACGAGGAAUUCCUAGUAAGUGUAGGUUUAUAAGUUGUUCUGAUUACGUCCCUGCCCUUUGUACACACCGCCCGUCGCUCCUACCGAUUGAAUGUUUCGGUGAAGAUUCCGGACCGUGGCGAGCGCGCUUCACGGCGCUCUUGCCGUGGGAAGUUAUCUAAACCUCAACAUUUAGAGGAAGGUGAAGUCGUAACA
This 320-nucleotide ribosomal RNA is filed under the name uncultured eukaryote. RNAcentral's name for it is "partial 18S ribosomal RNA". It matches the Rfam family "Eukaryotic small subunit ribosomal RNA", at positions 1470 to 1796 of the family's 1831-position model. The record is from RNAcentral.